This 484-nucleotide ribosomal RNA is filed under the name uncultured bacterium. RNAcentral's name for it is "partial 16S ribosomal RNA". It matches the Rfam family "Bacterial small subunit ribosomal RNA", at positions 30 to 507 of the family's 1533-position model. The record is from RNAcentral.
AUUGAACGCUGGCGGCAGGCCUAACACAUGCAAGUCGAGCGGAUGAAGGGAGCUUGCGCCUGGAUUCAGCGGCGGACGGGUGAGUAAUGCCUAGGAAGCUGCCUGGUAGUGGGGGAUAACGUCAGUAAACGGGCGCUAAUACCGCAUACGUCCUGAGUGAGAAAGUGGGGGAUCUUCGGACCUCACGCUAUCAGAUGAGCCUAGGUCGGAUUAGCUAGUUGGUGGGGUAAAGGCCUACCAAGGCGACGAUCCGUAACUGGCCUGAGAGGAUGAUCAGUCACACUGGAACUGAGACACGGUCCAGACUCCUACGGGAGGCAGCAGUGGGGAAUAUUGGACAAUGGGCGAAAGCCUGAUCGAGCAAUGCCGCGUGUGUGAAGAAGGUCUUCGGAUUGUAAAGCACUUUAAGUUGGGAGGAAGGGAAGUAAGUUAAUACCUUGCUGUCUUGACGUUACCAACAGAAUAAGCACCGGCUAACUUCGUG